This 264-nucleotide ribosomal RNA is filed under the name uncultured bacterium. RNAcentral's name for it is "partial 16S ribosomal RNA". It matches the Rfam family "Bacterial small subunit ribosomal RNA", at positions 793 to 1055 of the family's 1533-position model. The record is from RNAcentral.
GUCCACGCCCUAAACGAUGUCAACUGGUUGUUGGGAGGGUUUCUUCUCAGUAACGAAGCUAACGCGUGAAGUAGACCGCCUGGGGAGUACGGUCGCAAGAUUAAAACUCAAAGGAAUUGACGGGGACCCGCACAAGCGGUGGAUGAUGUGGAUUAAUUCGAUGCAACGCGAAAAACCUUACCUACCCUUGACAUGGAUGGAACCCUGGAGAGAUUCGGGGGUGCUCGAAAGAGAACCAUUACACAGGUGCUGCAUGGCUGUCGU